CGCGUAUAGAAUCUGCCUUGCACUGGGGAAUAGCCCAGAGAAAUUUGGAUUAACGCCCCAUGGUAUGUACUUGUGGCAUCACAUGUACAUUAAAGGCUACGGUGCAAGAUGACUAUGCGUCCCAUUAGUUAGUUGGCAGGGUAACGGCCUACCAAGACGGCGAUGGGUAGGGGCCCUGAGAGGGGGAUCCCCCACACUGGUACUGAGACACGGACCAGACUCCUACGGGAGGCAGCAGUGAGGAAUAUUGGACAAUGGGCGGGAGCCUGAUCCAGCCAUGCCGCGUGCAGGAAGACGGUCCUAUGGAUUGUAAACUGCUUUUGUACGGGAAGAACAUGGGGCACGCGUGCCCCUCUGACGGUACCGUAAGAAUAAGGAUCGGCUAACUCCGUGCCAGCAGCCGCGGUAAUACGGAGGAUCCGAGCGUUAUCCGGAAUCAUUGGGUUUAAAGGGUCCGUAGGCGGGCCAUUAAGUCAGGGGUGAAAGUCUGCGGCUCAACCGUAGAAUUGCCCUUGAUACUGGUGGCCUUGAGUUAUGGUGAAGUAACUAGAAUAUGUAGUGUAGCGGUGAAAUGCAUAGAUAUUACAUAGAAUACCGAUUGCGAAGGCAGGUUACUAACCAUAUACUGACGCUGAUGGACGAAAGCGUGGGUAGCGAACAGGAUUAGAUACCCUGGUAGUCCACGCCGUAAACGAUGGAUACUAGCUGUCCGGAUGCAAAUCUGGGCGGCCAAGCGAAAGUGAUAAGUAUCCCACCUGGGGGAGUACGUCCGCAAGGAUGAAACUC
This 786-nucleotide ribosomal RNA is filed under the name Arenibacter sp. SRO_393. Its description in RNAcentral is "bacterial SSU rRNA". It matches the Rfam family "Bacterial small subunit ribosomal RNA", at positions 114 to 902 of the family's 1533-position model. The record is from RNAcentral. Lineage: Bacteria; Pseudomonadati; Bacteroidota; Flavobacteriia; Flavobacteriales; Flavobacteriaceae.